Molecule: ribosomal RNA, 163 nt
Filed under: Poa trinervis
Lineage: Eukaryota; Viridiplantae; Streptophyta; Magnoliopsida; Poales; Poaceae
Description: 5.8S ribosomal RNA
Rfam family: 5.8S ribosomal RNA
About the family: 5.8S ribosomal RNA (5.8S rRNA) is a component of the large subunit of the eukaryotic ribosome. It is transcribed by RNA polymerase I as part of the 45S precursor that also contains 18S and 28S rRNA.
Source: RNAcentral
ACACGACUSUCGGCAACGGAUAUCUCGGCUCUCGCAUMGAUGAAGAACGUAGCGAAAUGCGAUACCUGGUGUGAAUUGCAGAAUCCCGCGAACCAUCGAGUCUUUGAACGCAAGUUGCGCCCGAGGCCACAUGGCCGAGGGCACGCCUGCCUGGGCGUCACGC